Molecule: long non-coding RNA, 1774 nt
Filed under: Gossypium barbadense (sea-island cotton)
Lineage: Eukaryota; Viridiplantae; Streptophyta; Magnoliopsida; Malvales; Malvaceae
Description: long non-coding RNA (GBAR_LNC022135)
Source: RNAcentral
UAAUUUCAUAUCUCACUCAGCUUCUAACUCAAUUCCCACCAUUUUUGAUGAUUUUUCAAAGUUACAUCAAUGCUGCUGUCCAAAAACUAUUUCAUUGCAAUUUUUUUUAAAAAAAUUGAAUAUAACCCCUUUAUAAUUAUCUAUCCUUCCCUGCAAAUUUCAAAUCACAACCAAUUCCAGUAUUUCAACUACUUCAUUUUAAUACUAAUGAAGUUCAGCCAAUCAACCAUUUCAAACUAAAAACAUGUAUAUUUCAAUGUCUAACACAACCAUUACAUUCAAAUUUACUUUGCAUACCUAGUCAUUCAUUCUAUUACUUUUUACUUCAAUUCCCUAUACAUGCCAUAUGAAUCCAAAAAGUUGUUUAACAAAAUCUACCGGAGUAAAUCUGGAUAGUGUGAUUCUUGGUGUAGAUCCGAUCCUCCGAAUGUAUAAAUACGUCAAUCUACAAGAAACAAUAAACACACACAAGUAAGCUUAUAGAAAGCUUAGUAAGUUCAUAGGCACAAAAACAUAAAUCUUACCAAACAUUUAUACACUUAUACAUUAUACACCAUUACUAAGUUUACCUGUCAAUCACAAACUUUGGUGAGUUCCUUGGUAUAAACUCAUUACUACUUAUUCUUUUACCAUAAUUCCUUUGGGCCCAUUUGUCACUUACCAUCCUUGAUCAAAAUUAAGGAACGGUUACGGAAAAUUGAGUACUUCACUUUCACUUUGCCAUAGUAUAACUAUGGUCUUACGUAUGAUCACUUAUCACUUCUCCUUGAUCAGAUAAGUGUAGCUAGGCUACCACUUAUCACUUUGUCACUUGCUCAGAUAAGUGUAGCUAAAGCUACCACUUAUCACUUUGUCACCACUUAUCACUUGUUCCUGAUCAGAUAAGUGUAGCUAAAACUACCACUUAUCACUUUGUCACUUGAUCAGAUAAGUGUAGCUAAGCUAUCACUUAUCACUUUGUCACUUGAUCAGAAGUACUCAAAUCCGGUGUUCCGCUCAAUUUGAUCAUUUAUUCAAUUUUUGUAUUUUAUUUUAUUUUAUUUUAUUCUCAUUUCAUCAAUAAAUAUAUAUUUCAUCAUACAUUAUAUAAUUCAUGAAACUAACAUUUAAUCAUUAAAUUUCAGCCAUAUGAACUUACCUGGGUCGAUUUGCUGAAUUUGUAAAAGUUCAGGGACUAAUCAGCUACUUUUUCUUUUCCUCAACUUGUUUCGGGUUUUUGAUCUAAAAUGCAAAUUUAUUCAUUCAUCAGCAUCCAAUUCUAUUCUAAUUCAUUUCACAAUUUUUUCCCUUAAAUUUUUGAAAUUACACUUUUACCCCAAACUUUAUAGUUUUUACAAUUUGGUCCCUACUCAAUCAACCCCUCAAUUGAUCUAAUUUUUCUCAAUUAACACAUUUUCCAACUAUUUUAGACUACUACAUAGCCUUUCAUAUUCAAAACCGCAACACCAAACCCUAAUCCCCACUUUUUCACAAUUAGGUCCCUAAAAUCAAUUUCUAUCAAAAUUACUUAAUAAAAUCAUCAUAUAAUAAAAUUAAAGCUUUAAUUCCAUGUUUAUUCAUCAUAAAAAUCCAGCACUCAUCAAUGGUAACUUUCAAAAUCAGCCAUGAAAUCAAAAACUGAUGAAAUAAUUAGUUGGACCUAAUUGUAAAAGUAUUAAAAUCACAAAAAUUAGAAGAAGUAAUCAAGAAUUAAACUUACAUGAGUCAAAUAUAUGAAAACCCAGCUUGUUUCAGACCUCCUAUGGCGUUUUUGCUGAUAAAUUGUGAAGAGAUC